Penaeus monodon (black tiger shrimp) is the source of this 292-nucleotide long non-coding RNA. RefSeq lists it as uncharacterized. The transcript is spliced from 3 exons. Lineage: Eukaryota; Metazoa; Arthropoda; Malacostraca; Decapoda; Penaeidae. The record is from RefSeq and is a predicted model, not a curated record.
AGAGAAGAGUCGCCCCGAGUCCAGGAAAGAAGAGGAACCAGCAGGGAUAUCAAGCUAAAGCGGUGGAGGGGAACUUACUGGAUAUGGGAAAUGUCUUAAGUGGCUGGGAUAAAAAGAAUUUUGACUUGGAGCCACAAGCAACUGUGAAGACAAGUGCAUCAGGACUAAAGACAGAAAAAGACCAGCCCAGCGAGAGCAUUGGCCAAACACCACAGCACAAUGGCAACACUGUAAAGGAUGAAGCAACGGUCAGCAUUACACCCCCCGCCUCAGAAGCUGGCAAUGAUGAGGA